UUUACACCAGUUGCUAUGAAAACACUUAAUUUCUCAAUAAUUGUGUCGUUGAUCAUUUGCAUCUGCAAUAGUUAUGCAGAUAAUCAAGCAGAUUUAAAGCCAUGCUGUACACCAUGUGUCAACCCAUGCAUCCUCAAAUGUCCCUGCAUCUUCCCUAUAUACAAUGAAAUAAUACGACCGAGGAAUCUAACGAAUUACCCAACUGGAAAACCAUGCGGACCAUGUCCACAGUACAUGUGCAAAGAGAACCAUGAUUUCAAUUGCCCGACGCCAUUGAGAAGAUGUACGCCGGAAUUAAUACGGAAUUUGAUCGAUUAAUUGCCGA
Bradysia coprophila is the source of this 325-nucleotide long non-coding RNA. The record is from RefSeq and is a predicted model, not a curated record. Lineage: Eukaryota; Metazoa; Arthropoda; Insecta; Diptera; Sciaridae.